This 70-nucleotide transfer RNA is filed under the name Neurobasis chinensis. RNAcentral's name for it is "tRNA-Val". It matches the Rfam family "tRNA". From Rfam's summary of the family: Transfer RNA (tRNA) molecules are approximately 80 nucleotides in length. Lineage: Eukaryota; Metazoa; Arthropoda; Insecta; Odonata; Calopterygidae. The record is from RNAcentral.
CUAAAUAGAGCUUGAUGUAUAGCAUCCUAUUUACACUAGGAAGAUGGCUGUUCAAUUCAGCUUAUUUUGA